RNAcentral lists this ribosomal RNA (467 nucleotides) under uncultured bacterium. RNAcentral's name for it is "partial 16S ribosomal RNA". It matches the Rfam family "Bacterial small subunit ribosomal RNA", at positions 29 to 507 of the family's 1533-position model. The record is from RNAcentral.
ACGAACGCUGGCGGCGUGCUUAACACCUGCAAGUCGCACGGAAAGGCCCUGCUUUUGUGGGGUGCUCGAGUGGCGAACGGGUGAGUAACACGUGAGUAACCUGCCCUUGACUUUGGGAUAACUUCAGGAAACUGGGGCUAAUACCGGAUAGGAGCUCCUGCUGCAUGGUGGGGGUUGGAAAGUUUCGGCGGUUGGGGAUGGACUCGCGGCUUAUCAGCUUGUUGGUGGGGUAGUGGCUUACCAAGGCUUUGACGGGUAGCCGGCCUGAGAGGGUGACCGGCCACAUUGGGACUGAGAGACGGCCCAGACUCCUAAGGGAGGCAGCAGUGGGGAAUAUUGCACAAUGGGCGGAAGCCUGAUGCAGCAACGCCGCGUGCGGGAUGACGGCCUUCGGGUUGUAAACCGCUUUCGCCUGUGACGAAGCGUGAGUGACGGUAAUGGGUAAAGAAGCACCGGCUAACUACGUG